UACAGAGAGUGCAAGCGUUAAUCGGAAUUACUGGGCGUAAAGCGCACGUAGGUGGAUAUUUAAGUCGAAUGUGAAAACCCUGGGCUUAACCUAGGAAUUGCAUCCGAUACUGGGUAUCUAGAGUAUGGUAGAGGGAAGUGGAAUUUCCGGUGUAGCGGUGAAAUGCGUAGAUAUCGGAAAGAACACCAGUGGCGAAGGCGACUUCCUGGACCAAUACUGACACUGAGGUGCGAAAGCGUGGGGAGCACACAGG
RNAcentral lists this ribosomal RNA (253 nucleotides) under uncultured bacterium. RNAcentral's name for it is "partial 16S ribosomal RNA". It matches the Rfam family "Bacterial small subunit ribosomal RNA", at positions 524 to 776 of the family's 1533-position model. The record is from RNAcentral.